RNAcentral lists this long non-coding RNA (609 nucleotides) under Physcomitrium patens. Its description in RNAcentral is "long non-coding RNA (PPAT_LNC004582)". Lineage: Eukaryota; Viridiplantae; Streptophyta; Bryopsida; Funariales; Funariaceae. The record is from RNAcentral.
UUUGAGUGGGGGUUCACAGCCAAGUGAAGAGAUGCUUCCCGAGUCUAAGAUUCUUCCACGUAAUGCGGUUUAGACAUGAACAGCAUGAAUUUAAUCAUUCAACAUGGACGUGUCAGAGAGGACACAUCAUGCCUCAGAGGAUGGACAAGAUCUAGACGUACAAUUCCCUUGAAAAAACGAAGUUUUUCAGCCUUUUUAUUCUCAAUCGAGCCGCGGCUGCGCAGCUAAUUGCAGCUGACGGACACACCAUUGACAAGUGAGUCUUUUAUCCUGUGCGUCACAUCCAUCGUGCGGUUGAACAAUUCUAUCAGGUUUGCUCCAACACUGAGCUUGUAACAACAUCCCUUUAAUAACAUUUGCCUCCAGCCUUUCAUGUCUUUAUCGCCAUCUUCGCUUCAGAUUCUAUGCAGUCUGCAUCUGUCCAUAUUAACCUCUAGAGCUCAUGAAUCCGUGUUCAUGAUGCACUACAGUCGUCUGCAAGUAAUUUGUCAUGGACAUGUCCAUUACACUCUCUGAAUCAAUCUCCCACAGCUCAAAUGACGCAAUCCCACAAGUGUGCGCAGAUGCUCUAGUUCCCAGGGGCGAAAUGGGUAUCGAAAUAACCCCCUC